Molecule: transfer RNA, 71 nt
Filed under: Loxodonta africana (African savanna elephant)
Lineage: Eukaryota; Metazoa; Chordata; Mammalia; Proboscidea; Elephantidae
Rfam family: tRNA
About the family: Transfer RNA (tRNA) molecules are approximately 80 nucleotides in length. Their secondary structure includes four short double-helical elements and three loops (D, anti-codon, and T loops). Further hydrogen bonds mediate the characteristic L-shaped molecular structure. tRNAs have two regions of fundamental functional importance: the anti-codon, which is responsible for specific mRNA codon recognition, and the 3' end, to which the tRNAs corresponding amino acid is attached (by aminoacyl-tRNA synthetases). tRNAs cope with the degeneracy of the genetic code in two manners: having more than one tRNA (with a specific anti-codon) for a particular amino acid; and 'wobble' base-pairing, i.e. permitting non-standard base-pairing at the 3rd anti-codon position.
Source: Rfam by way of RNAcentral
GCACUGGUGGGUCUGUGGUACAAUUCUCACCUUCCAUGUGGGAGACCCUGGUUCAAUUCCCGGCCAGUGCA